UACGGAGGAUGCGAGCGUUAUUCGGAUUUAUUGGGUUUAAAGGGUGCGCAGGCGGAGGUGCAAGUCAGCGGUCAAAUUGCGGGGCUCAACCCCGUACUGCCGUUGAAACUGGCGGGCUGGAGUUGGAGAGAAGUACGCGGAAUGCGCGGUGUAGCGGUGAAAUGCUUAGAUAUCGCGCAGAACCCCGAUUGCGAAGGCAGCGUACCGGCUCCACACUGACGCUGAGGCACGAAAGCGUGGGUAUCGAACAGG
This 252-nucleotide ribosomal RNA is filed under the name uncultured Bacteroidales bacterium. Its description in RNAcentral is "partial 16S ribosomal RNA". It matches the Rfam family "Bacterial small subunit ribosomal RNA", at positions 524 to 776 of the family's 1533-position model. Lineage: Bacteria; Pseudomonadati; Bacteroidota; Bacteroidia; Bacteroidales. The record is from RNAcentral.